Molecule: ribosomal RNA, 253 nt
Filed under: uncultured bacterium
Lineage: Bacteria
Description: partial 16S ribosomal RNA
Rfam family: Bacterial small subunit ribosomal RNA
Source: RNAcentral
UACGUAGGGGGCAAGCGUUGUCCGGAAUCAUUGGGCGUAAAGCGCGUGUAGGCGGCUUGGUAAGUCUGCUCUGAAAGCCCGGGGCUCAACCCCGGGAGGCGGGUGGAUACUGUCAAGCUCGAGACCGGGAGAGGUGAGUGGAAUUCCCAGUGUAGCGGUGAAAUGCGUAGAUAUUGGGAGGAACACCAGUGGCGAAGGCGGCUCACUGGACCGGUACUGACGCUGAAGCGCGAAAGCGUGGGGAGCAAACGGG